RNAcentral lists this transfer RNA (75 nucleotides) under Chitinophagaceae bacterium. RNAcentral's name for it is "tRNA-Val". It matches the Rfam family "tRNA". Rfam says of the family: Transfer RNA (tRNA) molecules are approximately 80 nucleotides in length. Their secondary structure includes four short double-helical elements and three loops (D, anti-codon, and T loops). Lineage: Bacteria; Pseudomonadati; Bacteroidota; Chitinophagia; Chitinophagales; Chitinophagaceae. The record is from RNAcentral. RNAcentral also lists the same sequence under 8 other names.
GGGAGUUUAGCUCAGCUGGUUUAGAGCAUCUGCCUUACAAGCAGAGGGUCGGCGGUUCGAACCCGUCAACUCCCA